Molecule: non-coding RNA, 20 nt
Filed under: Arabidopsis thaliana (thale cress)
Lineage: Eukaryota; Viridiplantae; Streptophyta; Magnoliopsida; Brassicales; Brassicaceae
Source: RNAcentral
GUAAAUCUUUUAAAGCCCUU